This 496-nucleotide ribosomal RNA is filed under the name uncultured bacterium. RNAcentral's name for it is "partial 16S ribosomal RNA". It matches the Rfam family "Bacterial small subunit ribosomal RNA", at positions 28 to 506 of the family's 1533-position model. The record is from RNAcentral.
GAUGAACGCUGGCGGCGUGCCUAAUACAUGCAAGUCGAGCGAACAGAUGAGGAGCUUGCUCCUCUGACGUUAGCGGCGGACGGGUGAGUAACACGUGGAUAACCUACCUAUAAGACUGGGAUAACUUCGGGAAACCGGAGCUAAUACCGGAUAAUAUAUUGAACCGCAUGGGUCCAUAGUGAAAGACGGUUUUGCUGUCACUUAUAGAUGGAUCCGCGCCGCAUUCGCUAGUUGGUAAGGUAACGGCUUACCAAGGCAACGAUGCGUAGCCGAACUGAGAGGGCGAUCGGCAACUGUGGAGAUGAGACACGCUCCCGACUCCGACGUGAGGCACCACCAGGAAACCUACGGCAAGGGGCGGAAGCGUGACGUAGGAACGGCGCGAGAGUGAGGCAGAGCUACGCAUCGUAAAACGCUGUUAUGAUGGAAGAGCAAAUUUGUAAGUAACGAUGCGCGUAUGGACGGUACCGAAGCAGAAACCCACGGCAAAUUCCGU